UACGAAGGGGUUAGCGUUGUUCGGAAUGACUGGGCGUAAAGCGCGCGUAGGCGGAUCAUCAAGUCGGGGGUGAAAUCCCGGGGCUCAACCCCGGAAUGGCCUUCGAGACUGGUGGUCUUGAGUUCGAGAGAGGUGAGUGGAAUUCCGAGUGUAGAGGUGAAAUUCGUAGAUAUUCGGAGGAACACCAGUGGCGAAGGCGGCUCACUGGCUCGACACUGACGCUGAGGUGCGAAAGCGUGGGGAGCAAACAGG
RNAcentral lists this ribosomal RNA (252 nucleotides) under uncultured bacterium. RNAcentral describes it as "partial 16S ribosomal RNA". It matches the Rfam family "Bacterial small subunit ribosomal RNA", at positions 524 to 776 of the family's 1533-position model. The record is from RNAcentral.